UUGARAGGUGUUUUAUCAUGAUACCUAAGUAAAUCGUUCAUCUUUGCUUUUACCUAGUUACAAUUAUAAUUCAAUAAUAAUAAUACAGAGCCAUUAGCAUACAUUUCAAAUACAUGCAAAUUUGUUUGUCGAAAACAUAAUCACCGAAAACGUUCUAAGCCGUAUAUAUAAUGUAUAUCGAUAUAAUAUUACAAUCUCAGAAAUUGUUAAUAAGAUCAAACUGUUUCAAAAAAUUAAAACUAAUUGAUUGCUGUGAGCCAAAAUUACUUCUAAAAAAAAACACAUGAGUUGUGUACCUACACAUCUACGGUAUGACAAAAAUUAUUCACACGGUAUUAAAUUUGUCUGAGUAAGGAUAUCAACCCGAAUAUGCUACAAAUAUGCAUGCCCACUGUCAUGGAUUAUGGAUCAUCACCGACAUCACUGCCAAUAUAUGAUAAUUAUCUGUAGUGAAUUAAAUAGUUAUAUAAUAAUUGAUACAA
Molecule: long non-coding RNA, 482 nt
Organism: Diuraphis noxia (Russian wheat aphid)
Lineage: Eukaryota; Metazoa; Arthropoda; Insecta; Hemiptera; Aphididae
Source: RefSeq, a predicted model, not a curated record